CAGUCGCCGCGGGAAUACAGAGGGUGCGAGCGUUAAUCGGAUUUACUGGGCGUAAAGCGUGCGUAGGCGGCUUCUUAAGUCGGAUGUGAAAUCCCUGAGCUUAACUUAGGAAUUGCAUUCGAUACUGGGAAGCUAGAGUAUGGGAGAGGAUGGUAGAAUUCCAGGUGUAGCGGUGAAAUGCGUAGAGAUCUGGAGGAAUACCGAUGGCGAAGGCAGCCAUCUGGCCUAAUACUGACGCUGAGGUACGAAAGCAUGGGGAGCAAACAGGAUUAGAGACCCCAGUAGUCCCUGUCUCUUAUAU
This 301-nucleotide ribosomal RNA is filed under the name uncultured bacterium. RNAcentral's name for it is "partial 16S ribosomal RNA". It matches the Rfam family "Bacterial small subunit ribosomal RNA", at positions 509 to 809 of the family's 1533-position model. The record is from RNAcentral.